AACUUUCAACAAUGGAUCUCUUGGCUCUCGCAUCGAUGAAGAACGCAGCGAAAUGCGAUACGUAAUGUGAAUUGCAGAAUUCAGUGAAUCAUCGAGUUUUUGAACGCACCUUGCGCUCCUUGGCAUUCCUUGGAGCAUGCCUGUUUGAGUGUCAUGAAAUUCUCAACUCUUCCAACCUUUUGUGGGGUCUGGUCGAGCUUGGACUUGGAGGUACAUUGCUGGCCGAAAGGUCGGCUCCUCUUGAAUGCAUUAGCUGAACCCGCAGUGGAUCGGUCGCUCGGUUUGAUAAUAAUGUCUAUGCCGUCCUCCGUGAAGCCUCGAAAGUGGGAUUCGCUUCCAAUCGUCUUCGGACAUCGCCUUUGGGCGAUCACUGACCAUUUUGACCUCAAAUCAGGUAGGACUACCCGCUGAACUUAAGCAUAUCAAUAAGCGGAGGCU
This 438-nucleotide unclassified non-coding RNA is filed under the name uncultured Coniophoraceae. RNAcentral describes it as "sequence contains ITS2". The stretch from base 1 to 154 matches the Rfam family "5.8S ribosomal RNA". The record is from RNAcentral. Lineage: Eukaryota; Fungi; Basidiomycota; Agaricomycetes; Boletales; Coniophoraceae.